Molecule: ribosomal RNA, 486 nt
Filed under: uncultured bacterium
Lineage: Bacteria
Description: partial 16S ribosomal RNA
Rfam family: Bacterial small subunit ribosomal RNA
Source: RNAcentral
AACGAACGCUGGCGGCGCGUCUUAACCAUGCAAGUCGAGCGGCAGGCAGCAAUGCCGAGAGCGGCGGACUGGUGAGUAACACGUGGAUAACGUACCCCGAUGUCCGGGACAGCCUGUAGAAAUAGAGGGUAAUACCGGAUAGAUCACUGUUUACGUGAGGUAGACAGCGGGAAAGGAGCUUCGGCUCCGCGCCGGGAUCGGUCUGCGGCCCAUCAGCUGGACGGCGGGGUAAAGGCCCGCCGUGGCGAGGACGGGUAUCCGGCCUGAGAGGGCGGACGGACACAUUGGGACUGAGAUACGGCCCAGACUCCUACGGGAGGCAGCAGGUAAGAAUAUUCCGCAAUGGGGGGAACCCUGACGGAGCGACGCCGCGUGAACGAAGAAGGCCGGAAGGUUGUAAAGUUCUUUUCUGUCCGAGGAAUAAGUUUCGGAGGAAAUGCCGGGACGGUGACGGUAGGGCAGGAAUAAGCACCGGCUAAUUACGUG